Molecule: long non-coding RNA, 1924 nt
Organism: Pogoniulus pusillus (Red-fronted tinkerbird)
Lineage: Eukaryota; Metazoa; Chordata; Aves; Piciformes; Lybiidae
Exons: 2
Source: RefSeq, a predicted model, not a curated record
CGCAAGUUUCAUUCUCUCCCCCGGAGUCACAGCACGUUUAAAAUGAAACAUGUCGUAGUAUGAAGCCCUGUUACAGCAUUCAAAGGAACACGGCUACAGCCUCACUGAUGAGUGUCAAAGCCUUUCUUUAGUCUCUACAUGAUGCAAAGCACCUGCUUAAUUAUUUCAUUUAAUACAGGGGUGGGGGGGAACAGUUUAACCCUCACUGAGACAAGGGUUGUUUAUUACACAGGACUGCAAGAGGUGACUAACAGGGGCAUCUGUAUGUGCAAGGAUACAACCACUACUGUGCCGAUUUGAGGCUAAUUGGAAUUAGCCAAACCACCAACACUACUUAAACCAGGAAGGGUGGACACUGUCUCCUGGCUAAGGAGAGAACAGGAUGAGCUUGGGGAGGGGAAAUGAAGUUAGGACCCUCUAGCAGCCUGGCUAAAGAGAGCUCAUGUACUUCACCAAAAGGAGAUCCAGCAGCAAGCUGGGCUGGAAUGUGCCCUUCAUGGGGGAUGCAAUACCUGUGUGUUGAUGGGAGAUAUCUCCCAAGGGGUUCUUCUGGGAUGGGACUGCCCACAGGCUGAAUCUAUUAGCGUCCAGCAGAGCCAUGCGGUGAUGCAUCAGGCAUAAAAGUGCAGUGUCUGCUGUGUUCAUGCAUGAGUGCCCAGUGAGCACCCAGAUAGCUCACAGGGCUUUGUCAGGACCAGGAAAGCUUUUGAGCUUACACAGGGUGCUACUGUGACACAAGUCUGAACACAGAUUAAGAAAACUGGUCACACUAUGGAGGCCACAGACAGCACAGCACACACACCUCUGCCCUGCACAGCUCUCCUCCCAGGCAGAAUCAUUCCCUCAGAACCGCCUCCACCAUUGCUCCUGCUGCACUAAACCCACCCAAGCUCAUGGACCAACACAGUAGCAGUAGAAACAAGUCAGCCCUUGGUAGUGUCUACAGACUCCCCCACUCCAUCCCCAUCUUCUUCACCUGCCUGGAUGACCGCACAGGCUAAAAUCAGAGCAGGAAGCUUGCUAAGAGUGAAGCGUUGCCUCCUGACCUGGAUUUACUCAGUGGCACAGACACAGGUCUGCUGUGAGAUUCUGUAAUUAUUUUCCAGGUCAAGUAAUGUGAGAAAGGAUUUGCACAGAGCCCUCAAGCAGAAGCAGAGUUGUGUAGGGGACUGUGUCAGCUGCUCAUCUCAGCGUUGCUGGAAAUUAAAACCAGCAACUGACAUCACUACCAUUGCAACAGCAUCAAUCACACCACAAGACCAGAGGCUUUCUGUCCACUGAAUCUGGAGGUGGCUCUAAGAAAUUCUACCUAAGCCCUGCACAUGCACCCAAACUGAGGCCUGGAAGACAGAGGGGCUCAGAGACCCCUGAAGACCACCUAAGACUCCUUAAAAGACCCCCUAGUGAUGGUACUGGGCAAGCAAAACAACUCUUGGAAUAUGCUAAGUAAUUCUUAGAAGAAAAAUGAAUAUAUAAGUCAGCCCAAUAAAAGAAGAGAAAUGACCAACUUUGGGCAGAAUGCUUCCCCCCACCCCCUCCAGACUACAAGAUGAACCUCACUGCUGGGACACCACAGGUCUGUGGUGGUAGCUAUCACUACUAACCUUUUCUUUUCUUCCUCUCUUUCUCUCUCCUCUGCAUUAGCAAAUUUGUUGUUGAGCAAAUAAAUUUACUUGGCACUUGACUCCAUUUGGAGCCUUAAUUCUGUUCCCAAGAACACAAGCAAAACCUUGCUCUGGUCUUUGACCAGCAUGCAACAAAUUGUUAUAGUUGGUUUUGAACAAAAAGUUUCCAUUUGGAUCACAUUCCUCAGAAUACUCUGAAUACUGCACAGCACAGGCUAGGGUCAUGCUGACAGCAGUGCUGCUGGCAUAUUUUGGAGGUAUUGUUCUUAUCACCUUUUAGUUUUCACAACCUUCUUUUC